This 24-nucleotide microRNA is filed under the name Ananas comosus (pineapple). RNAcentral's name for it is "microRNA s1173_c016b". The record is from RNAcentral. Lineage: Eukaryota; Viridiplantae; Streptophyta; Magnoliopsida; Poales; Bromeliaceae.
ACAGCUUAAUGGUUGGUACAUGGU